UACGGGGGGGAGCAAGCGUUGUUCGGAUUUACUGGGCGUAAAGGGCGCGUAGGCGGCCAGCACAAGUCAGUUGUGAAAUCUCCGAGCUUAACUCGGAACGGUCAACUGAUACUGUGCGGCUAGAGUGCGGAAGGGGCAACUGGAAUUCUUGGUGUAGCGGUGAAAUGCGUAGAGAUGUGGAGGAACACCGAUGGCGAAGGCAGCCUUCUGGGCCAACACUGACGCUCAUGCACGAAAGCGUGGGGAGCAAACAGG
This 255-nucleotide ribosomal RNA is filed under the name uncultured bacterium. Its description in RNAcentral is "partial 16S ribosomal RNA". It matches the Rfam family "Bacterial small subunit ribosomal RNA", at positions 524 to 776 of the family's 1533-position model. The record is from RNAcentral.